Non-coding RNA from Arachis ipaensis, 1623 nucleotides. The record is from RefSeq and is a predicted model, not a curated record. NCBI's taxonomy places the organism in Eukaryota, Viridiplantae, Streptophyta, Magnoliopsida, Fabales, Fabaceae.
UUUACAUUAUAUAUGUAUGUCUACCUUAGGUGUUAACAUUUAUUUUUAAUCAUACAUGUAUAUUCAUCACUAAGAAUAUUGUUUUCCUGGGAUAUAUUAUCACAAUUGAAAUUAUAGUUCCUGUUUAUAUUUGUUUGUUUAGUUCCAUUAUUGUCAAAAAUACAUAUCCUAUUUGUAAUUAUCAAACUACAGAGUCUUCAACUGAAUAGUCUUACCAGCUGUACAGUUAUCGAUUAUAAAAAAUAUUAACUUUAUAUCGUGACUGGAAAAUUAGCAAAAUUCUAACUGAGAAAUUUUUCUUUUAUAGUAUCCUCCUUGUUACAAGGACAUCAGUUUCUGGAUCAAUGAAUCAUUUACUGAAAACAAUCUCUGUGAACUUGUUAGAGGAAUUGCUGGGGAUCUUGUAGAAAAGGUAAUUCUUUGAACCUUUUCUCUAGCAUUUAAAUGUAUGUGGAUUAUCAAUGUUGCUGUUUCCUGAAUGUUCAAUUGAUUGAAAAUGUAUCUGAGAUGACCUGAUCUGGAAUUGAAAAUUGGAUGUAAUAAUAUAUUUGGCUUCAGAAGUCAUCAUAGCACCAAACCUUAAUCAUAAACCUACUAAAUCAUUAGGCAGAAGCUGAAUUAAUACGAUAGAAGUAUUAUUUUUAGCUGAAAUUAAUAUAAUCCACUUUAAGGAAACAAGUUGCUAAAUUAACCAAAAGAUUGGAAUGGGCCUUUGCUCCUCUAUUUUGCUUGGCAAAGGCCAUAAAAAUCUGCAUGAGUUAUAACUUGAUACAAGGAUCUGCAAAAUAGAUUCCCAUGGUUUCCAAUGAAGCAACUUUACAUUUCCAUGAAAAUUUAUGGAACGUUCUCUUACUGAUAUAAGGAUCUGCAGGUAUUAAAUUUACUUAAUUCCUUUUUUUACAGCCAAUCUUGGUCUUAUAAUGUCAUAAUUUGUUUGGACUUUGGAAAUUAAUUACCAGCAGAAUAUCAUGCUUAUUUUCGCGACUUUGAGGGCGUGUAUGUGCCCCAAUACUAUAUCUAAUUGAAUAAGUGGUGCUGCGAUGUGAAGUAAGUAAAUUCUUGUUAUAUAUAUUUUUAAAGUGUCAGAUAUGCUAUCCUGUCUCUGCUGCUGUCUAAUUUUUUAUAGUUGUAAAGUGUCAAGUCAUGAUAUCUAAUUUCUAAUUAAUCAUUGUUGCUUCUAAAUUCUUCUAUGAAAGGUUCUGAAGGGCAAUGUAAGUUAUAAAAGGUAACAUCUCGUGCAUAUGAAAUUUAAUCAGAAUUUCUUUUAUUUUUUGCACUAGGUUGAAAAGGAGGAGGUGGUGGCUGCAUUGGAGAAGCUACGACUUGUGACUCAACGAAUGAGACUUACGGCAAAAGAAAUGGAAGAGGUUACUUUAAAGAGGUGUUGGCUGGCUCGAUAUUGGGGUUUAUGCAUUCACCAUGGUAUUCUCGGUGAUAUUGCUGAAGCAAAAUAUAACUAUUGGUCUACCUUCGCGACUAAUCCUUUUAAAGUUGUAUUAACUAGUCUACAUAGUUAUAGGCUUGUAGAUUUUUUGUUGUUAGAUUUGUAAUAUAGUUAGUUAAUUACUUUUCAAGAGAAAUUUGUGUAUCAAUAUUUUGAGUUUAAUAAAAUAUCUCAUUUUG